UCUGUGUAACAGAGUUUGGUUUGGAAUUUGCUUUCAGUAUAUCCUGGUAACAAGGUUGUGGGGAUUCCCAGCCCUCAUCACCUUUAAAUUCUCAGAUGUCACUGCCAUUUAUCCAAAGAGUUACCUUGUGUGAUUAAAUUGGUCUGUUUGUUUGAAGCACUUCAUUCCAAUGAGAUGUGGACACAGAAGUGUUUCGGAAGAAGAGAUAAUGUUUGAAAACUACAAAAUUACCUCGUGUGGUAGACUGAAUAAUGACCCUCAAAGAUGUCCACAUUCCUAAUCCCUGGAACCUGUGAAUGUUACAUUAUAUGGUAAAAGAGAUCUAGCAAAUGUGAUUAAAUUCAGGAUCUUGAGCUAGGGAGAUUAUCCUGGAUUAUCCACGUGGGCCCAGUCCAAUCACAUGAAUCCUUAAAAGUGGAGAAUCUUCCUGGCUAUGUCAGCCAGAUGAGAUUGAAAAGCAGGAACGAUGGAAGCAAUGUGAGGGGCUCAGUCCCCUGCUGCUGACUUUGAAGACGGAGGGAAUGGGCCAUGAGCCAGUGAAUGCCGGGAUCCUUACAAGAGAGAAACGGGCUAGAGUUGUAGAAGUCAAAGGUAGAAGCUGAAAAAGACAAGAAAAAGGAUUGUUCCCUAGAGCCUCCAGAAGGAACCACACCUCGAUUUUAGCCCAGGGAAUCUGAUUUUGGAUUUCUGAUCUCCAGAACUAUAACAGAAUAAACUUGUGUUUUUUUAAAGCCA
Long non-coding RNA from Galeopterus variegatus (Sunda flying lemur), 735 nucleotides. RefSeq lists it as uncharacterized. The transcript is spliced from 2 exons. The record is from RefSeq and is a predicted model, not a curated record. Lineage: Eukaryota; Metazoa; Chordata; Mammalia; Dermoptera; Cynocephalidae.